GGAAAGUUUGUGUAACUGGAGGCACUGGAUUCAUAGCUUCAUGGCUGAUCAAGACGCUUCUUGAAAAUGGCUACUCUGUCACUACCACUGUUAGAGCCGACCCAGAGAAGAGGAAAGACUACAGCUUCUUGACAAACCUACCUGGAGCAUCAGAAAAACUGCAAAUAUACAAUGCUGAUCUCCAUGACCCGAACAGUUAUGCCCCUGCCAUUGCAGGUUGCAUUGGAGUCUUUCAUCUUGCUACCCCAAUUGAUGUAGAUGACAAAGAACCUGUGGAAUCGUUGACGAGAAGAACGAUUGAAGGAACAUUGGGCAUCCUUAAACUUUGUCUAGAUUCAAAAACAGUAAGGCGAGUUGUAUACACUUCCAGUGCAGCCACCAUGCAGUUUAAUCACCACAAAGUAGACUUUUUGGAUGAGAGCUGUUGGAGUGACAUUGAUUACAUUAACAGUAUCGCACCGUUCGGAAGAUCAUACCCGACUUCCAAGACAUUAACCGAGAAAGCAGUUCUUGAAUUCUCUCAGCAGUAUGGAUUGGAAGUUGUAACUGUCCUUCCAACUUAUGUCAUUGGUCCCUUCAUUUGUCCUAAACUUCCAGGCUCCGUUCACGUGACAAUGUCUCUGAUAUUAGGUAAUGAAGCAGAGUAUGGAUUGAUCCUAAAAUCAAACAUGGUGCAUGUGGAUGAUGUGGCAAGAGCACACAUUUUCCUAUUUGAACAUCCAAAUGCGAAUGGGCGAUAUGCUUGCUCUUCCCACAUAAUCACUUUGGAAGAAUUGGCUAA
RNAcentral lists this unclassified non-coding RNA (781 nucleotides) under Hevea brasiliensis (rubber tree). The record is from RNAcentral. Lineage: Eukaryota; Viridiplantae; Streptophyta; Magnoliopsida; Malpighiales; Euphorbiaceae.